CAGUUGGUCCGAGGCAGUGAUUGUUACUGAAUAGAAAUAUCUGCCUCUCUAUGUUCCUAUGUGCUUGUUUUCUUAAACUUCGACUUGGACUCUGACUCAGUACAUGUAACUGAUGGCUGUUUUGCUUCUAGUCCUGAGUUCAGAGGCUAGAUCAGUUCUCCCCAGUUUCUGCCUCACCCCGUGGGAUCGGUUUGCAUCCUUGUCUCAGCAAAGCUUCCUCUUCCUCUCCAAGAGCUCUGAAGCAAGCCACAGCUGGCAACAUCUUGGUGUUCCAGCCUGGGAACAGGAACAGGGCAAUUUGAUCCACUUGGGAGAAGACAGCUGCCAACAAACGCCACCUGGGCGCUGUGGCCCCCGAGUAUGGCUCUUCAGUGUCCUGAGCUCCCAGUCCUUCAUCCUCACUGCCCUCCUGGCCUUUUCAUCCCGGUGUACCAAGAGCAUCUUACAUGUAAAAAGCCCAAGAGCUGGGAUUGGCCAAAACGAUGGGCCAAAUCCAACUUGCCUCCUCUGUUCGUAAAAAAGUUUUAUUGGAACACAGCCAUGCCCAUUCGUUUCUGUAUUGUCUAUACCUGCUUUUGCAUCAUACCAGCAAGGGUCCCGUAAUAAGGUUCGGGCUCCAGCGCCUGGUGAGCCAUCGCCCGGAAACACAUCUCAGGACUCCAAGGCUGAAGUCCGGUGUGCGCCCGAGUUCUGCUUAUUGCCCGGCUCGCUCUUGGCACUGGCUCAGGAGGCAGAAAUUCCAGGAAUCCUGGUUCCUCCUUCCCCUUGGCAUCCUCCUCAUCCUCCUCCCUGCCCCGCCCCCUUCUCCACCAAUCCUCAGGCCCCUCUCCCAUCUGGUGGACAAGUGGCCGGUUGUCACUGGGAUCUUUAUGUCUCUCUCGGGGGCAGCCACGUUGGGACCGGAUGGGGCUGUCGUGGGCAUGACACAGUGGUUUUGAGCGAAGCCUUCUGGGGUUACUUAGAGCAGCCAGGGGUGAGGGACGUUGGGGAGGCAGGCUAGGGGAGAGGCUCCCAUGCAAGCCAAGGACUCAGGCAGUGGGGGAUGAGAGGCAGAGUAUCCUGGGUGCCAAACUCCGGGGUGCUGCAGGUCUCGCCUACAGCAGCGUAAAGUAGGGGAGCUCCGAAAACAGUGAUGAGACCCCAGAGCUUCUUAGCAUCUCCUGAAGCAUCCCUGCCUCCCACUGCCCCUGUUCCUACCUUCCUUCUGGGGCCCACAGUCUCACGUAUGCACUGGUGCCAUUGCCUCCUAAAGGGCACAGAUGCCUGGGUGAGCUCUUGAAAAUGCUGCAGUGAUCAGGACACUUGCCUGGCUGAAGCCCUUCCAGGCAGAGUGCUUCAACUGCUUUUUGUUUCACACACUCCUCUAGCUGUCUGGUGAGGCCUGUGGACUUCAUCUUAGUAAAAUGUUUUUAAAUGCCUGAAAUAAAAUGU
Aethalodelphis obliquidens (Pacific white-sided dolphin) is the source of this 1431-nucleotide long non-coding RNA. RefSeq lists it as uncharacterized. Lineage: Eukaryota; Metazoa; Chordata; Mammalia; Artiodactyla; Delphinidae. The record is from RefSeq and is a predicted model, not a curated record. The transcript has 3 exons.